UACAGAAGCCUCGAGCGUUACCCGGAUUUACUGGGCGUAAAGGGUGUGUAGGUGGUGUGAUUAGUCGGGUGUUAAAUCUUGGGGCUCAACCCCAAGCUCGCGCUCGAAACGGUCACACUGGAGGAAGUGAGAGGUGUGCGGAACUCAAGGUGUAGGGGUGAAAUCCGUUGAUAUCUUGGGGAACACCAAAAGCGAAGGCAGCACACUGGCACUCUCCUGACACUGAAACACGAAAGCGUGGGUAGCGAAUCGG
RNAcentral lists this unclassified non-coding RNA (253 nucleotides) under Candidatus Kaiserbacteria bacterium. RNAcentral describes it as "contains 16S-23S intergenic spacer region". It matches the Rfam family "Bacterial small subunit ribosomal RNA", at positions 524 to 776 of the family's 1533-position model. The record is from RNAcentral. Lineage: Bacteria; Candidatus Kaiseribacteriota.